UACGUAGGGGGCAAGCGUUGUCCGGAUUUAUUGGGCGUAAAGAGCGUGUAGGCGGUUUGGUAGGUCCGCUGUGAAAACUCGAGGCUCAACCUCGAGACGCCGGUGGAAACCAUCAGACUAGAGUCCGGAAGAGGAGAGUGGAAUUCCUGGUGUAGCGGUGAAAUGCGUAGAGAUCCGGAGGAACACCAAAGGCGAAGGCAGUGUCCUGGGGAGUACCUGACGCUCAGGUGCGAAAGCCAGGGGAGCGAACGGG
RNAcentral lists this ribosomal RNA (253 nucleotides) under uncultured bacterium. Its description in RNAcentral is "partial 16S ribosomal RNA". It matches the Rfam family "Bacterial small subunit ribosomal RNA", at positions 524 to 776 of the family's 1533-position model. The record is from RNAcentral.